AUUGAACGCUGGCGGCAGGCCUAACACAUGCAAGUCGAGCGGAUGAAGGGAGCUUGCUCCUGCAUUCAGCGGCGGACGGGUGGGUAAUGCCUAGGAAUCUGCCUGAUAGUGGGGGAUAACGUCCGGUAACGGGCGCUAAUACCGCAUACGUCCUGAGGGAGUACGGGGGGGAUCUUCGGACCUCACGCUAUCAGAUGAGCGUAGGUCGGCUUAGCUAGUUGGUGGGGUAAAGGCCUACCAAGGCGACGAUCCGUAACUGGUCUGAGAGGAUGAUCAGUCACACUGGAACUGAGACACGGUACAGACUCCGACGGGAGGCAGCAGUGGGGAAUAUUGCACGAUGGGCGAGAGCCUGAUCUAGCCAUGCCGCGUGUGUGAAGAAGGUCUUCGGAUGGUAAAGCACUUUAAGUUGGGAGGAAGGGCAGUAAGUUAGUACCUUGCUGUUUUGACGGUACCAAAAGAAUAAGCACCGGCUAACUUCGUG
RNAcentral lists this ribosomal RNA (484 nucleotides) under uncultured bacterium. Its description in RNAcentral is "partial 16S ribosomal RNA". It matches the Rfam family "Bacterial small subunit ribosomal RNA", at positions 30 to 507 of the family's 1533-position model. The record is from RNAcentral.